Molecule: small nucleolar RNA, 141 nt
Organism: Gastrolobium bilobum
Lineage: Eukaryota; Viridiplantae; Streptophyta; Magnoliopsida; Fabales; Fabaceae
Source: RefSeq, a predicted model, not a curated record
GAGCAAGAACACCAAUCACAAAAAUAUAAAUAAAGCCCCGUGUUGCAAUGAAGGUUGGCAAAAAAGGCACACGGUGAUUGUCCAUGCCUAUCAAAUUGAGUUUUUAUGGUUUUGAUUAUUCCUCGAAUAAGUCACAACUUC